UCUACGGGACGCAGCAGGCGCGAAAACUUUACAAUGCGGGAAACCGUGAUAAGGGGACACCGAGUGCUAGCAUCAUAUGCUGGCUGUCCAGGUGUGUAAAAUACACCUGUUAGCAAGGGCCGGGCAAGACCGGUGCCAGCAGCCGCGGUAAUA
RNAcentral lists this ribosomal RNA (153 nucleotides) under uncultured Methanosarcina sp. Its description in RNAcentral is "partial 16S ribosomal RNA". It matches the Rfam family "Archaeal small subunit ribosomal RNA", at positions 322 to 475 of the family's 1478-position model. The record is from RNAcentral. Lineage: Archaea; Methanobacteriati; Methanobacteriota; Methanomicrobia; Methanosarcinales; Methanosarcinaceae.